CAGGUUCGGGAUAACCUGGCAACGCUACUUGCUUUGUGUUGGUACUGGGAUACUCAUGGAGUUGGAUCCAAGGUUUUGCUGAGAGGAAAUUAAUAUUAUGCAGACACCAAAAUCAAGGAAUUCAAAUAUCCCAUCCAAGGAUUGGAUGGAUUUAGCAAGGUAUUAGCAAAGAGUAUAUUGUUGGUGUUGAAUCAUUCCUAGAUUUUCCUUACUC
Solanum stenotomum is the source of this 214-nucleotide long non-coding RNA. RefSeq lists it as uncharacterized. The record is from RefSeq and is a predicted model, not a curated record. The transcript has 3 exons. NCBI's taxonomy places the organism in Eukaryota, Viridiplantae, Streptophyta, Magnoliopsida, Solanales, Solanaceae.